GACGAACGCUGGCGGCGUGCUUAACACAUGCAAGUCGAACGAUGAAGCCUAGCUUGCUAGGUGGAUUAGUGGCGAACGGGUGAGUAAUACGUGAGUAACCUACCUUUAACUCUGGGAUAAGCCUGGGAAACUGGGUCUAAUACCGGAUACGACCAAUCUCCGCAUGGGGUGUUGGUGGAAAGCGUUAUGUAGUGGUUAUAGAUGGGCUCACGGCCUAUCAGCUUGUUGGUGAGGUAACGGCUCACCAAGGCGACGACGGGUAGCCGGCCUGAGAGGGUGACCGGCCACACUGGGACUGAGACACGGCCCAGACUCCUACGGGAGGCAGCAGUGGGGAAUAUUGCACAAUGGGCGCAAGCCUGAUGCAGCGACGCCGCGUGAGGGAUGACGGCCUUCGGGUUGUAAACCUCUGUUAGCAGGGAAGAAGAGAGAUUGACGGUACCUGCAGAGAAAGCGCCGGCUAACUACGUGCCAGCAGCCGCGGUAAUACGUAGGGCGCGAGCGUUGUCCGGAAUUAUUGGGCGUAAAGAGCUUGUAGGCGGUUUGUCGCGUCUGCUGUGAAGGCCGGAGCUUAACUCCGUGUAUUGCAGUGGGUACGGGCAGACUAGAGUGCAGUAGGGGAGACUGGAAUUCCUGGUGUAGCGGUGGAAUGCGCAGAUAUCAGGAGGAACACCGAUGGCGAAGGCAGGUCUCUGGGCUGUAACUGACGCUGAGAAGCGAAAGCAUGGGGAGCGAACAGGAUUAGAUACCCUGGUAGUCCACGCCGUAAACGUUGGGCACUAGGUGUGGGGGACAUUCCACGUUUUCCGCGCCGUAGCUAACGCAUUAAGUGCCCCGCCUGGGGAGUACGGCCGCAAGGCUAAAACUCAAAGAAAUUGACGGGGGCCCGCACAAGCGGCGGAGCAUGCGGAUUAAUUCGAUGCAACGCGAAGAACCUUACCAAGGCUUGACAUAUACUGGACCGCAUCAGAGAUGGUGUUUCCCUUCGGGGCUGGUAUACAGGUGGUGCAUGGUUGUCGUCAGCUCGUGUCGUGAGAUGUUGGGUUAAGUCCCGCAACGAGCGCAACCCUCGUUCUAUGUUGCCAGCACGUUAUGGUGGGGACUCAUAGGAGACUGCCGGGGUCAACUCGGAGGAAGGUGGGGAUGACGUCAAAUCAUCAUGCCCCUUAUGUCUUGGGCUUCACGCAUGCUACAAUGGCCGGUACAGAGGGUUGCGAUACUGUGAGGUGGAGCUAAUCCCUAAAAGCCGGUCUCAGUUCGGAUUGGGGUCUGCAACUCGACCCCAUGAAGUCGGAGUCGCUAGUAAUCGCAGAUCAGCAACGCUGCGGUGAAUACGUUCCCGGGCCU
Molecule: ribosomal RNA, 1347 nt
Filed under: uncultured bacterium
Lineage: Bacteria
Description: bacterial SSU rRNA
Rfam family: Bacterial small subunit ribosomal RNA
Source: RNAcentral